RNAcentral lists this ribosomal RNA (318 nucleotides) under uncultured eukaryote. RNAcentral's name for it is "partial 18S ribosomal RNA". It matches the Rfam family "Eukaryotic small subunit ribosomal RNA", at positions 1470 to 1796 of the family's 1831-position model. The record is from RNAcentral.
CCCUUAGAUGUCCUGGGCCGCACGCGUGCUACACUGACGCAUACAGCGAGCACUUUCCAGUUCCGAGAGACUACUGGUAAUCAUCAAUAUGCGUCGUGAUGGGGAUAGAUCUUUGGAAUUCUGGAUCUUGAACGAGGAAUGCCUAGUAAUCGCAGGUCAUUAGCCUGCGAUGAUUAAGUCCCUGCCCUUUGUACACACCGCCCGUCGCUACUACCGAUUUCGAGUGGUCAGGUGAAUCUUUCGGACUGUGGGCGCCCUUGAGGUGUUCGCGGAAAGUCAGGUAAAUCUUAUCACUUAGAGGAAGUAAAAGUCGUAACA